GCCCCAAUGGCGCAGUGGUGGCUUUUCGAGUUUGGCUAACUCGAGAGGUCGUCGGUUCGAAUCCGGCUUGGGUCG
Thielaviopsis punctulata is the source of this 75-nucleotide transfer RNA. It matches the Rfam family "tRNA". Rfam says of the family: Transfer RNA (tRNA) molecules are approximately 80 nucleotides in length. The record is from Rfam. Lineage: Eukaryota; Fungi; Ascomycota; Sordariomycetes; Microascales; Ceratocystidaceae.